GACGUAGGAUGCAAGCGUUGUCCGGAUUUAUUGGGCGUAAAGAGUUCGUAGGUGGUUUGUUAAGUCUGAUGUUAAAGACUGGGGCUCAACCUCGGAAAUGCAUUGGAUACUGGCAGACUUGAGUGUGGUAGAGGCAAUCGGAAUUCCAGGUGUAGCGGUGAAAUGCGUAGAGAUCUGGAGGAACACCGAUGGCGAAGGCAGCCUUCUGGGCCAACACUGACGCUCAUGCACGAAAGCGUGGGGAGCAAACAGG
This 253-nucleotide ribosomal RNA is filed under the name uncultured bacterium. RNAcentral's name for it is "partial 16S ribosomal RNA". It matches the Rfam family "Bacterial small subunit ribosomal RNA", at positions 524 to 776 of the family's 1533-position model. The record is from RNAcentral.